AAAAAAAAAACCUUUUUUCCUCGUAUAUUAUGUUUCGAUACACAAUAUAGGUAACUGCAUAUUAUUAUUGUUAUUCUCGAUUCUAUAGUCUCACCAUUUUUUUUUUUUAACGUAUACAUAAAUCAAACGCGUACACAUUUCUGUCACAUAGUAUAUGGUAGAGUAGAAACCGGCGUACGGAAAAAAAAAAAAAUUGACGAGUUUCAAAUAUUAGCUUUUAUUGGAUAAUAUAGUUAACGUACAUAUUUUAUUGUUGUGUUUCGUUUAAUUUAUCGCGUAACUUUCAUGUAAUAUAAUUUAAUAUUGCAAUCAGAUAAUAUUUUUAUGGAAUCUCUUUUUUUGUACAAAUAAUAAUAUAUAAUAUAAACAGGAAUCGUUUUUUUUUUUUUUUUUCCCAUAGUUAUUAAUUUAUUAUAUAUAUUUAUAUUAUACGAGUACCUAUUAAAAUACUAUAUAAAAGCAACGAGACAGCGAGAAAAACAAACCAUAUAAUUUAUUUGUAUAAUAAUAUUAUUAUAUUAUAUUAAUGUUGUCUUGAUAUUAUAUUAAAUAAUACUGAUAAUGUGUUUCGAAAAUAAAGCCUAAUACAUAUUAUACAAUUAUAAUCAAAACGGAAAAGAAAAAAAAAAUCGUGCGUUUUUAUUUUCCGUAUACACCAUCGUAUUAAGAAAAAUAGUGUUUUGGCCAUUAUAACCCGGUGAUAUUCGUUAUCAGACAUGGUUAUACACAAUUACGGUUGUCUAAU
Non-coding RNA from Cinara cedri, 745 nucleotides. The record is from the annotation of a GenBank genome assembly. Lineage: Eukaryota; Metazoa; Arthropoda; Insecta; Hemiptera; Aphididae.